GUGAGGAAUAUUGCGCAAUGGAGGCAACUCUGACGCAGCCAUGCCGCGUGCAGGAAGAAGGCGCUACGCGUUGUAAACUGCUUUUAACCGGGAAGAAACCCCAGGACGUGUCCUGGGUUGACGGUACCGGAGGAAUAAGCACCGGCUAACUUCGUGCCAGCAGCCGCGGUAAUACGAAGGGUGCAAGCGUUAUCCGGAUUCAUUGGGUUUAAAGGGUGCGUAGGCGGAGAGUUAAGUCAGUGGUGAAAUCCUGCAGCUUAACUGUAGACUUGCAAUUGAUACUGGCGCUCUUGAGUGCGCUUGAAGUGGGCGGAAUGUGCCGUGUAGCGGUGAAAUGCUUAGAUAUGGCACAGAACACCAAUUGCGAAGGCAGCUCACUAAGGCGAUACUGACGCUGAGGCACGAAAGCGUGGGGAUCGAACAGGAUUAGAAACCCCGGUAGUCC
This 445-nucleotide ribosomal RNA is filed under the name uncultured bacterium. RNAcentral describes it as "partial 16S ribosomal RNA". It matches the Rfam family "Bacterial small subunit ribosomal RNA", at positions 354 to 796 of the family's 1533-position model. The record is from RNAcentral.